RNAcentral lists this long non-coding RNA (1319 nucleotides) under Equus caballus (horse). RNAcentral describes it as "lncRNA (ENSECAG00000031605.3)". Lineage: Eukaryota; Metazoa; Chordata; Mammalia; Perissodactyla; Equidae. The record is from RNAcentral.
AUCCCCUCCUAGUUGGAAGGGGAUGGCUAGAGUGGGCUGGAGUUGGGCAUCUCCUUCCCCCCAGGUGAGCUAGGCUCUGAUAAAACCCCAGCAGGUUAGGCUCUGGUUAACUAGUUUCCCUGAGGCCAGGUGUUCUUAAGAAGGACAUAGUGCUCUGAUGUAUGUCAAAAAGGUUCUUUUCCGCUUCCCCUGCCAGAAGCAGGAGGGGGUUUUUCUCCAACAUAUUGUGGCAAUCUAGUUGAGCUCCUGGAAGUAAAUCUCACAAAACUGUGGUGCCUUGCAGUGACUGGGUCGCCCUCGGGUUUAUAGCUCUCAGUUUUGUCCACACUGAGCCUCCAUCAACUCAUCAAUCACAGCUCUGGCUUUCCUGCCCCGGCCCUGCUUCCUGUGGUGGUUUUAGCUGUGAAUCUCUGCUCUGAGACUGAUGUAUCAAGAGAAUGCAGCUGUCACAAUUAAGAAGAAAAGACAUUUAAGCCACCAUAGACAGAAGAUACUGCUAUAAUAAACGGAACCUACAAAAUAUGAAGGUUAAAAGAAAAGGAGAGUGCUGUAAAAACAAGGCAUGCGUGUUCUAAAGCUUCAGUGGGAAAUUCUCGAAUAAUCUGAAGUGAGGCACUUAGGUUACUACAGGAAAUGGAUGGAAAAGGCCAUUAAGCAUUGCUGUCAUCUAAGUAUCAUUUUCAUAUUACUUGAGAAAUGCAGACAGUUGGAACUGGGGUGCAAAAGAAUAGAGGAUUGUGAGGGUGGAGCCAAGAAGGGAGAAUAUCAUCGGGAUGGAAGAGAUGUCAUAGAGACAGCGCUAAUGUCAGACGUGAAGAUUGUGGAAACAUGUGCUUUUUGGACGGGUGUACCAGCCAGAGAACUAUACUCUGACAGUGCUCUGAAGAUUAGCUCUGAGCUAACAUCUACCACCAAUCCUCCUCUUCUUUUGCUGAGGAAGACUGGCCCUGAGCUAACAUCUGUGCCCAUCUUCCUCUACUUUAUAUGUGGGACACCUACCACGGCAUGGCUUGACAAGCGGUGCCAUGUCUGCACCCAGGAUCCAAACUGGCGAACCCCGGGCUGCCAAAGCAGAACGUGCACACUUAACCAUUGCGCCACCAGGUCGGCCCCCAUAGAUAUUUUGAAUAUUGAGGGUCAGAGAUCUGAAUCUAAAUCUUGUUUCAGAUUUCCACAAUUUCCUUUAAAGGAGUAGAGCUAAUCUCCUGAGAAACAACAUAGGGUGGCAAUUUCCACAAAAUCUGUAAUAAUCUGAUUUCCUCUUAGAGCAUUCCAAAUAUGUAUAGGAUGAUAUCUGGAAGGUACUAUAGACCAUGAAC